GUCCACACCGUAAACGCUGUCUACUAGCUGUGUGUGUAUUAUAUACGUGCGUAGCGAAGCUAACGCGCUAAGUAGACCGCCUGGGGAGUACGGCCGCAAGGUUAAAACUCAAAUGAAUUGACGGGGGCCCGCACAAGCGGUGGAGCAUGUGGUUUAAUUCGAUGCAACGCGAAGAACCUUACCUACACUUGACAUGCAGAGAACUUUCUAGAGAUAGAUUGGUGCCUUCGGGAACUCUGACACAGGUGCUGCAUGGCU
RNAcentral lists this ribosomal RNA (258 nucleotides) under uncultured bacterium. Its description in RNAcentral is "partial 16S ribosomal RNA". It matches the Rfam family "Bacterial small subunit ribosomal RNA", at positions 793 to 1050 of the family's 1533-position model. The record is from RNAcentral.